Molecule: long non-coding RNA, 264 nt
Filed under: Lathyrus oleraceus (garden pea)
Lineage: Eukaryota; Viridiplantae; Streptophyta; Magnoliopsida; Fabales; Fabaceae
Description: Pisum sativum (pea) long non-coding RNA (PSAT_LNC034662)
Source: RNAcentral
UUCAAAAUACUCAGUCAAUUUGGGGCAAGUCCCUCUAAGGCUAACUCAGGUGCAAUUCACCUUGAGAACACAACAAAAUCAAUCACUUCAAGAGUCGGUUAGACAAAUACAAAUAUUUUCAAAAUCUCGGACAGGGGAAAGUCAUCUCAAGAGUACAGUGGAGUCCAUCUUCCAAAGACCAACCGAUUUGAAGUGUAUCAUUUCGAGGAUCGAUCAGGGGCAAACCACUACAAGAUUCAGACACUAGGGAAAAUUGGCUUAGAC